This 2923-nucleotide ribosomal RNA is filed under the name Klebsiella pneumoniae. RNAcentral describes it as "23S ribosomal RNA". It matches the Rfam family "Bacterial large subunit ribosomal RNA". The record is from RNAcentral. Lineage: Bacteria; Pseudomonadati; Pseudomonadota; Gammaproteobacteria; Enterobacterales; Enterobacteriaceae.
GGGUUGUGAGGUUAAGCGACUAAGCGUACACGGUGGAUGCCCUGGCAGUCAGAGGCGAUGAAGGACGUGCUAAUCUGCGAAAAGCGUCGGUAAGGUGAUAUGAACCGUUAUAACCGGCGAUGUCCGAAUGGGGAAACCCAGUGUGAUUCGUCACACUAUCGUUAACUGAAUACAUAGGUUAACGAGGCGAACCGGGGGAACUGAAACAUCUAAGUACCCCGAGGAAAAGAAAUCAACCGAGAUUCCCCCAGUAGCGGCGAGCGAACGGGGAGCAGCCCAGAGUCUGAAUCAGCUUGUGUGUUAGUGGAACGGUCUGGAAAGUCCGACGGUACAGGGUGAUAGUCCCGUACACCAAAAUGCACAGGCUGUGAACUCGAAGAGUAGGGCGGGACACGUGGUAUCCUGUCUGAAUAUGGGGGGACCAUCCUCCAAGGCUAAAUACUCCUGACUGACCGAUAGUGAACCAGUACCGUGAGGGAAAGGCGAAAAGAACCCCGGCGAGGGGAGUGAAAAAGAACCUGAAACCGUGUACGUACAAGCAGUGGGAGCACCUUCGGGUGUGACUGCGUACCUUUUGUAUAAUGGGUCAGCGACUUAUAUUCUGUAGCAAGGUUAACCGUAUAGGGGAGCCGCAGGGAAACCGAGUCUUAACUGGGCGUUAAGUUGCAGGGUAUAGACCCGAAACCCGGUGAUCUAGCCAUGGGCAGGUUGAAGGUUGGGUAACACUAACUGGAGGACCGAACCGACUAAUGUUGAAAAAUUAGCGGAUGACUUGUGGCUGGGGGUGAAAGGCCAAUCAAACCGGGAGAUAGCUGGUUCUCCCCGAAAGCUAUUUAGGUAGCGCCUCGUGAAUUCAUCUUCGGGGGUAGAGCACUGUUUCGGCUAGGGGGUCAUCCCGACUUACCAACCCGAUGCAAACUACGAAUACCGAAGAAUGUUAUCACGGGAGACACACGGCGGGUGCUAACGUCCGUCGUGAAGAGGGAAACAACCCAGACCGCCAGCUAAGGUCCCAAAGUCAUGGUUAAGUGGGAAACGAUGUGGGAAGGCACAGACAGCCAGGAUGUUGGCUUAGAAGCAGCCAUCAUUUAAAGAAAGCGUAAUAGCUCACUGGUCGAGUCGGCCUGCGCGGAAGAUGUAACGGGGCUAAACCAUGCACCGAAGCUGCGGCAGCGACACUAUGUGUUGUUGGGUAGGGGAGCGUUCUGUAAGCCUGCGAAGGUGUGCUGUGAGGCAUGCUGGAGGUAUCAGAAGUGCGAAUGCUGACAUAAGUAACGAUAAAGCGGGUGAAAAGCCCGCUCGCCGGAAGACCAAGGGUUCCUGUCCAACGUUAAUCGGGGCAGGGUGAGUCGACCCCUAAGGCGAGGCCGAAAGGCGUAGUCGAUGGGAAACAGGUUAAUAUUCCUGUACUUGGUGUUACUGCGAAGGGGGGACGGAGAAGGCUAUGUUAGCCGGGCGACGGUUGUCCCGGUUUAAGCAUGUAGGCUGGUUGUCCAGGCAAAUCCGGAUAAUCAAGGCUGAGGUGUGAUGACGAGGCACUACGGUGCUGAAGUAACAAAUGCCCUGCUUCCAGGAAAAGCCUCUAAGCAUCAGGUAACAUCAAAUCGUACCCCAAACCGACACAGGUGGUCAGGUAGAGAAUACCAAGGCGCUUGAGAGAACUCGGGUGAAGGAACUAGGCAAAAUGGUGCCGUAACUUCGGGAGAAGGCACGCUGGUGUGUAGGUGAAGUCCCUGCGGAUGGAGCUGAGACCAGUCGAAGAUACCAGCUGGCUGCAACUGUUUAUUAAAAACACAGCACUGUGCAAACACGAAAGUGGACGUAUACGGUGUGACGCCUGCCCGGUGCCGGAAGGUUAAUUGAUGGGGUUAUCCGUAAGGAGAAGCUCUUGAUCGAAGCCCCGGUAAACGGCGGCCGUAACUAUAACGGUCCUAAGGUAGCGAAAUUCCUUGUCGGGUAAGUUCCGACCUGCACGAAUGGCGUAAUGAUGGCCAGGCUGUCUCCACCCGAGACUCAGUGAAAUUGAACUCGCUGUGAAGAUGCAGUGUACCCGCGGCAAGACGGAAAGACCCCGUGAACCUUUACUAUAGCUUGACACUGAACAUUGAGCCUUGAUGUGUAGGAUAGGUGGGAGGCUUUGAAGCGUGGACGCCAGUCUGCGUGGAGCCAACCUUGAAAUACCACCCUUUAAUGUUUGAUGUUCUAACGUUGGCCCCUGACCGGGGUUGCGGACAGUGUCUGGUGGGUAGUUUGACUGGGGCGGUCUCCUCCCAAAGCGUAACGGAGGAGCACGAAGGUUAGCUAAUCCUGGUCGGACAUCAGGAGGUUAGUGCAAUGGCAUAAGCUAGCUUGACUGCGAGCGUGACGGCGCGAGCAGGUGCGAAAGCAGGUCAUAGUGAUCCGGUGGUUCUGAAUGGAAGGGCCAUCGCUCAACGGAUAAAAGGUACUCCGGGGAUAACAGGCUGAUACCGCCCAAGAGUUCAUAUCGACGGCGGUGUUUGGCACCUCGAUGUCGGCUCAUCACAUCCUGGGGCUGAAGUAGGUCCCAAGGGUAUGGCUGUUCGCCAUUUAAAGUGGUACGCGAGCUGGGUUUAGAACGUCGUGAGACAGUUCGGUCCCUAUCUGCCGUGGGCGCUGGAGAAUUGAGGGGGGCUGCUCCUAGUACGAGAGGACCGGAGUGGACGCAUCACUGGUGUUCGGGUUGUCAUGCCAAUGGCACUGCCCGGUAGCUAAAUGCGGAAGAGAUAAGUGCUGAAAGCAUCUAAGCACGAAACUUGCCCCGAGAUGAGUUCUCCCUGAGACUUUAAGUCUCCUGAAGGAACGUUAAAGACGAUGACGUUGAUAGGCCGGGUGUGUAAGCGCAGCGAUGCGUUGAGCUAACCGGUACUAAUGAACCGUGAGGCUUAACCUUACAACGCCGAAG